GACGAACGCUGGCGGCGUGCUUAACGCAUGCCAGUCGAACGGUGAAGCGCCUUCCUUUUUGGUGGGUGUGGAUGAGUGGCGAACGGGUGAGUAACACGUGAGUAACCUGCCCCCUUCUUCUGGAUAACCGCAUGAAAGUGUGGCUAAUACGGGAUAUUCUGGGUCUGUCGCAUGAUGGGUCUGGGAAAGAUAUUGUUUCGGUGGGGGAUGGGCUCGCGGCCUAUCAGCUUGUUGGUGGGGUGAUGGCCUACCAAGGCGGUGACGGGUAGCCGGCCUGAGAGGGUGGACGGUCACACUGGGACUGAGACACGGCCAAGACUCCUACGAGAGGCAGCAGUGGGGAAUAUUGCACAAUGGGCGCAAGCCUGAUGCAGCGACGCCGCGUGAGGGAUGGAGGCCUUCGGGUUGUGAACCUCUUUCGCCAGUGAAGCAGGCCUGCCUCGUUUGUGGGUGGGUUGACGGUAGCUGGAUAAGAAGCGCCGGCUAACUACGUG
RNAcentral lists this ribosomal RNA (494 nucleotides) under uncultured bacterium. Its description in RNAcentral is "partial 16S ribosomal RNA". It matches the Rfam family "Bacterial small subunit ribosomal RNA", at positions 28 to 507 of the family's 1533-position model. The record is from RNAcentral.